RNAcentral lists this transfer RNA (63 nucleotides) under Petaloconchus erectus. RNAcentral describes it as "Vermetus erectus tRNA-Leu". Lineage: Eukaryota; Metazoa; Mollusca; Gastropoda; Littorinimorpha; Vermetidae. The record is from RNAcentral.
CAUAAAGUGGCAGAGAAGUGCACUAGACUUAAGUCCUAGAAAUAAAUUAAAUUUUCUUUGUGA